Molecule: ribosomal RNA, 274 nt
Filed under: uncultured bacterium
Lineage: Bacteria
Description: partial 16S ribosomal RNA
Rfam family: Bacterial small subunit ribosomal RNA
Source: RNAcentral
AUACGGAGGGUGCAAGCGUGGUUCGGAAUUAUUGGGCGUAAAGCGCGUGUAGGCGGCUUGGUAAGUCAGGUGUGAAAGCCCUUAGCUCAACUAAGGAAAGUCAUCUGAAACUGCCAGGCUUGAGUACGGGAGAGGAGAGUGGAAUUCCCGGUGUAGAGGUGAAAUUCGUAGAUAUCGGGAGGAACACCCGUGGCGAAGGCGACUCUCUGGACCGAUACUGACGCUGAGACGCGAAAGCGUGGGGAGCAAACAGGAUUAGAAACCCUAGUAGUCC